This 775-nucleotide ribosomal RNA is filed under the name Pavlova sp. RCC2550. Its description in RNAcentral is "bacterial SSU rRNA". It matches the Rfam family "Bacterial small subunit ribosomal RNA", at positions 517 to 1296 of the family's 1533-position model. The record is from RNAcentral. Lineage: Eukaryota; Haptophyta; Pavlovophyceae; Pavlovales; Pavlovaceae.
GCGGUAAUACGGGAGAUGCGAGCGUUAUCCGGAAUCACUGGGCGUAAAGCGUCUGCAGGUUGUUUAGUAAGUCUGCCGUUAAAGACUGAAGCUUAACUUCAGGAGUGCAGCAGAAACUGCUAGACUUGAGUAUGGUAGGGGUAGGAGGAAUUUCUAGUGUAGCGGUGAAAUGCGUAGAUAUUAGGAAGAACACCAUUAGCGAAGGCGUCCUACUGGGCCAUUACUGACACUCAGAGACGAAAGCUAGGGUAGCAAACGGGAUUAGAUACCCCGGUAGUCCUAGCCGUAAACGAUGGAUACUAGAUGUUGCGGGUUUACCUGCGGUGUCGUAGCUAACGCGUUAAGUAUCCCGCCUGGGGAGUACGCACGCAAGUGUGAAACUCAAAGGAAUUGACGGGGGCCCGCACAAGCGGUGGAGCAUGUGGUUUAAUUCGAUGCAACGCGAAGAACCUUACCAGGAUUUGACAUACUCGGAAUUUCUUAUAAUAGAGAAAGUGCCUUCGGGAGCCGAGAUACAGGUGGUGCAUGGCUGUCGUCAGCUCGUGUCGUGAGAUGUUGGGUUAAGUCCCGCAACGAGCGCAACCCUUGUCUUUAUUUGCCAUUCUUAAGUGGGGGACUAUAGAGAUACUGCCCGUGAAAAGCGGGAGGAAGGUAAGGAUGACGUCAAGUCAGCAUGCCCCUUAUAUCCUGGGCUACACACGUGCUACAAUGACUAAGACAAUGAGAAGCAAGCUUGCGAAAGUUAGCAAAUCUCCGAAACUUAGUCCAAGUUCGG